RNAcentral lists this long non-coding RNA (561 nucleotides) under Cyanistes caeruleus (blue tit). RNAcentral describes it as "lncRNA (ENSCCEG00000010880.1)". Lineage: Eukaryota; Metazoa; Chordata; Aves; Passeriformes; Paridae. The record is from RNAcentral.
UCUGCUCUUUAGGUUAGACAGCCACAGGCUGGAAAAUAAAUGAGAACUAAGCCUUAAGAUUGUGAAGAGGAGAAGAACCAGCAUACCCCCUCCCUCUUAAUAUCCAGACAUAUACAACCUUUCAUUUUUGUCUCCAGCGUGUGUCUGGGAUCAGAAGCCAUCAGAAGUGGAUCAGUGACAUUCAGAACACAAAUUGCCUCUAUCAGGAUCAAAUUCACCAUAGAAGGUCUGAAUUUCUCUUGCUGCUCCUGCUUCCCUAUAGGACAGUGUACCACCACUGAAAGCUGCCUUCCUGCGUUUGUAGUGUACUGUGUUCUGGACAGUGAAAAAGGGAUAUGGAUCCAAUCUCAUUCUCAGAUCACAUCUCCAAAACUGGUUUAAAGUGGGAGAAAUACCACAUCAUAACAAUGCAGUGAAUCAGUUGUAAUAGUCUACAGUCUGCAGCAGAGGAGAAGAAAGCUUCACUGUUAUAGUUCAUGGAUUUUAUUUUUUUUUUCUGUUUUACAUGAUAAAGAGUCCAGAAAAAUACCACAGAUAAAUCAGUGACAAAAAAAAAUGUGU